This 474-nucleotide ribosomal RNA is filed under the name uncultured bacterium. RNAcentral describes it as "bacterial SSU rRNA". It matches the Rfam family "Bacterial small subunit ribosomal RNA", at positions 328 to 793 of the family's 1533-position model. The record is from RNAcentral.
UCAGUCGACUCCUACGGGGAGGCAGCAGUGGGGAAUAUUGCACAAUGGGGAAAACCCUGAUGCAGCCAUGCCGCGUGUGUGAAGAAGGCCUUCGGGUGUAAAGCACUUUCAGUAGGGAGGAAGGUAGUGUAGUUAACACCUGCAUUAUUUGACGUUACCUACAGAAGAAGCACCGGCUAACUCCGUGCCAGCAGCCGCGGUAAUACGGAGGGUGCGAGCGUUAAUCGGAAUUACUGGGCGUAAAGCGCAUGCAGGCGGCCUGUUAAGUCAGAUGUGAAAGCCCGGGGCUUAACCUCGGAAUUGCAUUUGAAACUGGCAGGCUAGAGUCUUGUAGAGGGGGGUAGGAAUUUCAGGUGUAGCGGUGAAAUGCGUAGAGAUCUGAAGGAAUACCAGUGGCGAAGGCGGCCCCCUGGACAAAGACUGACGCUCAGAUGCGAAAGCGUGGGGAGCAAACAGGAUUAGAUACCCUGGUAG